GUGACAGAUGCUGCCAUGGCUGUCGUCAGGCUCGUGUCGUGAGAUGUUGGGUUAGGUCCCGCAACGAGCGCAACCCCUGCUAUCAGUUGCCAUCAAGUAAUGUUGGGCACUCUGGUAGGGCUGCCGGUGACAAGCCGGAGGAAGGUGGGGAUGACGUCAAGUCAUCAUGGCUCUUACGAGUCGGGCUACACACGUGCUACGAUGGUACCUACAGAGGGAACCCGAGAUCNCGAGGUCGAGCCAAUCUUAAAAAGGUAUCUCAGUUCGGAUUGUUCUCUGCAACUCGAGAACAUGAAGUUGGAAUCGCUAGUAAUCGCGGAUCAGCAUGCCGCGGUGAAUACGUUCCCGGGUCUUGUACACACCGCCCGUCACGCCAUGGGAGUUUGUUCUGCCUGACGCCAUYGAGGUAACCGAGCAAUCGGAGCCUGGUGACCACGGUAGGGUAAG
Molecule: ribosomal RNA, 447 nt
Filed under: uncultured Eubacterium sp.
Lineage: Bacteria; Bacillati; Bacillota; Clostridia; Eubacteriales; Eubacteriaceae
Description: bacterial SSU rRNA
Rfam family: Bacterial small subunit ribosomal RNA
Source: RNAcentral